This is a long non-coding RNA of Carassius auratus (goldfish), 611 nucleotides long. RefSeq lists it as uncharacterized. The record is from RefSeq and is a predicted model, not a curated record. NCBI's taxonomy places the organism in Eukaryota, Metazoa, Chordata, Actinopteri, Cypriniformes, Cyprinidae. The transcript is spliced from 6 exons.
CAUUAACCCUUCAGAGUAGUCAAAUGUAUCAGAAGGAGGUGAAUGGAGCAGAUUGAGAGGGAGAAUGUGAAGAAACAGCAGGUGGCGCUAGUGCACUGUUUUAGUUUGGGAUCUGCUGUUAGAAGGAAGAAGAAGGAGAAAGCAGAUGAAGUCGUGUCAGGUGACAAACAUCAAUCGUGAAGAUCGCACAGGUGUUUAACAGCGAUCACAAACCGGAAGUGUUUGAAAGACUUCUGGAUUCUGUUCCUGCAGCACAAGAUCGUCUGAACUACUGCAAGUCAUGAUGAGCAUCUGAUCGUCUUCAGAGACACAAAAAUCUCAGUGUUGAGCUGUUCAUCUGCAGUAUGUCAGAGAAGAGAGGAAAGAUGAGUCUUUCACACAAACAGAGUGUAAGAUCAGACUCACAUGUGUCCACCUCUGUGUCUGUGAAGAGUGACCGUUCAAAGGAUAAACCACCGAAAUUCAGUGAAGAAACAACAUCACGAACCAAACGGCUUCAGUAUGAAACAUUAGAUCCAGAUUUACAGUCUCACAGGAACCGCAAUCAUUUUACAGAGAGUCUCCUGCAGAUCUUCCAGCACCUUGAGGGCAAAAUAAUAACAUUUCUGAAG